This is a long non-coding RNA of Magnolia sinica, 790 nucleotides long. RefSeq lists it as uncharacterized. Lineage: Eukaryota; Viridiplantae; Streptophyta; Magnoliopsida; Magnoliales; Magnoliaceae. The transcript has 2 exons. The record is from RefSeq and is a predicted model, not a curated record.
AUAACCUAUAACAUAGCCUUAACCUAAACCUAUAACCUAAAACCUAAACCUAAACCUAAAACCUAAAUGUAUUCUCAAAUCCCUAAACCUAAACCUUCACCUAAUCCUAAUCUCAACUCCCUAACCUAAACCUAAACCUACACCUAAUCCUAAUCUCAACUCCCUAACCUAAACCUAAACCUAAACUUGAAAACCCAAACCUAAACCCGAUCCCGAACCCGAACCCGAUUUCCUAAACCUAAACCUAAACCUAUUCUCAAUUCCCUAAAGCUAUAACCUAUAACCUAAACCUAACCUAAACCUAUAACCUUAACCUAAACCUAAAACCUAAACCUAAACUUAAACCUAUAACCUUAACCUAAAACUAGGUUUUGAGUUUAAAAGUCCAUCCUAUGUUUGAACACAUUACUCAUGUUGGAUUUUGCCAUAGUUUAGAAGAUUUGUAGGCUGACAAGCUAAAGAAGUCAGUGGAGGAUGAAAUUCAUUUUCUCAAGGGAAGGGUUUCAGAACUUGAAAGUGAUCUUGUGUCGAAGUCCACAGAAGUUACAUCUGCAGUUUCAAGGAAAGAAGAAGCUCUAUCUUCUGCAUUUGCUGAAAUUGACCGUUUGAAGGAAGAAAAUUCUGUAAAAACGUGAGCAUUAUUGAAUGCAUAUGGAGGGUGUUUACUGUGUUGGAGUGUAUUUGUUUCUUGCACAUGAGGGCACGCCUUAGUUGUAAUUCUUAUGAUAGGUUGAGCAAAGUGAAGUAUUGUUUAUUUAGAAAUGUGAAUGUAGGAUGCAUUGUAUGAUUU